GAUGAACGCUGGCGGCGUGCCUAAUACAUGCAAGUCGAGCGAACAGACGAGGAGCUUGCUCCUCUGACGUUAGCGGCCGACGGGUGAGUAACACGUGGAUAACCUACCUAUAAGACUGGGAUAACUUCGGGAAACCGGAGCUAAUACCGGAUAAUAUAUUGAACCGCAUGGUUCAAUAGUGAAAGACGGUUUUGCUGUCACUUAUAGAUGGAUCCGCGCCGCAUUAGCUAGUUGGUAAGGUAACGGCUUACCAAGGCAACGAUGCGUAGCCGACCUGAGAGGGUGAUCGGCCACACUGGAACUGAGACACGGUCCAGACUCCUACGGGAGGCAGCAGUAGGGAAUCUUCCGCAAAGGGCGAAAGCCUGACGGAGCAACGCCGCGUGAGUGAUGAAGGUCUUCGGAUCGUAAAACUCUGUUAUUAGGGAAGAACAAAUGUGUAAGUAACUAUGCACGUCUUGACGGUACCUAAUCAGAAAGCCACGGCUAACUACGUG
RNAcentral lists this ribosomal RNA (497 nucleotides) under uncultured bacterium. Its description in RNAcentral is "partial 16S ribosomal RNA". It matches the Rfam family "Bacterial small subunit ribosomal RNA", at positions 28 to 507 of the family's 1533-position model. The record is from RNAcentral.